RNAcentral lists this ribosomal RNA (77 nucleotides) under Anaerolineales bacterium. Lineage: Bacteria; Bacillati; Chloroflexota; Anaerolineae; Anaerolineales. The record is from RNAcentral.
CGAACCCGGUCGUUAAGGCUGUCAGCGCCGAUGGUACUUGGGGGGCGACCCCCCGGGAGAGUAGGUCAUCGCCAAGA